AAUAACGGCAUUCGUCGCUGGCGUGGUCUUUUCUCCGUCUGUACUGAAGUGUUAUUAUUGCUGAGUAGCGAGGAUUUAAAGCUGUUAAAUGUUCCUCGAUAUAAUGUUUAAUAGUGGAACGUUAGUUUUGUGCACUCUACGGCCACCUUGACCCAAUGGACGUUUAUUGUGGGUGUUUGUGUAUUAAUGCAUCCUGGAGAAGAAAAUCCGGCUUGAACACCAGCUACAGCAGGUAACAGACUACGGGCUACGAUGGGACCUGAUCGGCAUCAGAUUCAUGAGUGCAGAUGAAGGACACUGAAGAUUCAGCAACGUCAUUGAUGGACAGGGACAUGUAAUGGUUCUGGGAGGAAGAAUGAUUACAUGAUUGUUUAUUUACUUGUAAUGUAUAAACAAUGUGUAUAAAUAAAAAUAUCAAAGUUG
Molecule: long non-coding RNA, 423 nt
Organism: Tachysurus fulvidraco (yellow catfish)
Lineage: Eukaryota; Metazoa; Chordata; Actinopteri; Siluriformes; Bagridae
Exons: 4
Source: RefSeq, a predicted model, not a curated record